GUAGGUGGCAAGCGUUGUCCGGAAUUAUUGGGCGUAAAGCGCGCGCAGGUGGUUCUUUAAGUCUGAUGUGAAAGCCCCCGGGCUCAACCGGGGAGGGUCAUUGGAAACUGGGGAACUUGAGUGCAGGAGAGGAAAGUGGAAUUCCACGUGUAGCGGUGAAAUGCGUAGAUAUGUGGAGGAACACCAGUGGCGAAGGCGACUUUCUGGCCUGUAACUGACACUGAGGCGCGAAAGCGUGGGGAGCAAACAGGAUUAGAUACCCUGGUAGUCCACGCCGUAAGCGAUGAGUGCUAAGUGUUGGGGGGUUUCCGCCCCUCAGUGCUGCAGCUAACGCAUUAAGCACUCCGCCUGGGGAGUACGGUCGCAAGACUG
This 372-nucleotide ribosomal RNA is filed under the name uncultured organism. RNAcentral's name for it is "partial 16S ribosomal RNA". It matches the Rfam family "Bacterial small subunit ribosomal RNA", at positions 527 to 896 of the family's 1533-position model. The record is from RNAcentral.